Molecule: unclassified non-coding RNA, 379 nt
Filed under: uncultured Micrococcaceae bacterium
Lineage: Bacteria; Bacillati; Actinomycetota; Actinomycetes; Micrococcales; Micrococcaceae
Description: contains 16S-23S intergenic spacer region
Source: RNAcentral
UCCGAGUUGACCCCGGCAGUCUCCUAUGAGUCCCCACCAUCACGUGCUGGCAACAUAGAACGAGGGUUGCGCUCGUUGCGGGACUUAACCCAACAUCUCACGACACGAGCUGACGACAACCAUGCACCACCUGUGAACCGGCCCCAAAGGGGAAACCACAUUUCUGCGGCGAUCCGGCCCAUGUCAAGCCUUGGUAAGGUUCUUCGCGUUGCAUCGAAUUAAUCCGCAUGCUCCGCCGCUUGUGCGGGCCCCCGUCAAUUCCUUUGAGUUUCAACCUUGCGGUCGUACUCCCCAGGCGGAGUGCUUAAUGUGUUAGCUACGGCACCGGAGGGGUCGAUACCCCCGACGCCUAGUGCCCACCGUUUACGGCGUGGACUAC